Molecule: ribosomal RNA, 537 nt
Filed under: uncultured bacterium
Lineage: Bacteria
Description: bacterial SSU rRNA
Rfam family: Bacterial small subunit ribosomal RNA
Source: RNAcentral
CCUACGGGAGGCAGCAGUGAGGAAUCUUGCGCAAUGGAGGAAACUCUGACGCAGCCACGCCGCGUGAAGGAAGACACCCCUAUGGGGCGUAAACUUCUUUUAUAUGGGAAGAACCCCCUGCUCGGCAGGGUCUGACGGUACCAUAUGAAUAAGCACCGGCUAACUCCGUGCCAGCAGCCGCGGUAAUACGGAGGGUGCAAGCGUUGUCCGGAAUCACUGGGUGUAAAGGGUGUGUAGGCGGGGCAGUAAGUCAGAGGUGAAAGCCCACGGCUCAACCGUGGAAUUGCCUUUGAUACUGCUGUUCUUGAGUCCUGGAGAGGUCGCCGGAAUUCGUGGUGUAGCGGUGAAAUGCGUAGAUAUCACGAGGAACACCGGAGGUGUAGACGGGUGACUGGACAGGUACUGACGCUGAGGCACGAAAGCGUGGGGAGCAAACAGGAUUAGAUACCCUGGUAGUCCACGCCGUAAACGAUGGAUGCUCGGUGUUGCCNUGUUUCAUCGCCAGUGGCGCAGCUAACGCGUUAAGCAUCCCACCUG